This 393-nucleotide ribosomal RNA is filed under the name Triticum aestivum (bread wheat). RNAcentral's name for it is "partial small subunit ribosomal RNA". The record is from RNAcentral. Lineage: Eukaryota; Viridiplantae; Streptophyta; Magnoliopsida; Poales; Poaceae.
AUGAGCUUGCUGUGGGUGGUUCCCCAGUUCCUCCUGGCAGGGUUGACCAGCGUAUUUGCAUAUGUUGGCCUGCUGGAGUUCUUCUACGACCAGGUGCCGGACUCCCUCCGGAGCUUGGGCGUAGCUCUGUGCAUGAGCAUAGGUGGGGCUGGCUGCUUCAUCAGUAGCUUCCUCGUGUACGCCAUUGACAGGGUGACCAGCAGCAAUGGGGGGAGCUGGUUCUCCAACAAUCUCAACAGGGGCCAUCUUGAUUACUUCUUCUGGCUCCGCCUUGGGCUUCUCCGCUUACCUGCACUUUGCAAAGGCUUAUGUCGAAAAGAAAAAGAAUUAUUCAGUUUUGGUACAAUGAUGUACAGAACGUUCAGUGUAACAAUCAUGACAAGUAUUAAGUAA